UCAGAAUGGCUGCUUGCCUCCCUUGUCUUUUAGUAUGCCUGUCGAAGCUCUUUGGUUUUUACAUGGCAUGUCCCUGGUGUAGCCCUUCUCCCCCGUGCUCCACACCAUCUUUGCAUAGAUGUUUAUGUUUCCAUGGCUGCCUGCACAGAUUCUAUUCUCCACAGGCCAAUAAAGUCCACUCCAUCCUAUGUACUCCAGGUUAGAGCAUUUGGGGCAUUGACUUGCCAUGAUCAGCUGAACUGUCAAGCUCACCACAUUGAUCAAACAGGAAACUGGAAGUCAAAAGUUCCCAGGGUGUCAUGAGGGGAAGAACUAUUUCCUGUGUACAUGGCUGCUGUGCUCCAAGUAAGUUAGGUCAAGGGAAGAGACCUGUUAGCGGAGACACAUACAUUAUGAGGCCAGUGUAAGGGGGCUUCCAUUAACUUAAGUUUAUAGUGUAGAGGCCUGAGAGGAGCAUUUGGCCUUCAGAUUCUUUACGACUCAUGAUGAUGCACAAGACAAGAAAACAGCUUAACUUUCAGAUCAGAUUGAGAUUGUAGGCCUCACAGAAUCCCUUUCCUGAGCACAUUUUAUAUGAAAGUUGUGGAUACUACAAAUUUAGAAGCCCACAGUGCACUUUUCAAAACAGCUGCUUGCCUGCUCCUUUAGAGCAGAGCUGCACUUUCACACUUCUCUUUUUCAUCAUUUCUGUAUUCAGCUUUAGUUAAAAUAGCAGAACUACUAAGAGAAGUGAGGUCUUCUUGGUCAUUUACAUACAGCUACGGUUUUUUAGAUGUAUAUUAUAUUGCACAUAGGCUUCCAGUAUUAAGGGAAUGAUGAACAUUACUGAUUUUUUUUAUUAGAGAUGGACGGAAUAUUUGGAAAAAAAUUAUAUACAAACACAAGCCUUGCUGAAUUCCCUUAAAUGAACUCUGCUAUGAAAAACUGUUUUGAGAUCUGAGAAAGUACAGUUACACAGAAGCAGAUAGAGAGUAGAAGACUGAAGAUGGAAGUACAGCCUGGAAUCCUAAAAUGGAUAAUGAGCCAUGACAAUGGAGUAAGUGAUUAAUCUCAGACAAAUUGCUUUGCUGACAAAAAGUCAGAUUGCUUAUCCAAGGCGCAAAUACAUGAGGCAGGAUUGAGAAGAAAAGGAUUGGGAUCUCAAAGAGAUUUGAUCGCUGUCAUCUCAACAACAGGUGACACCACCUGCCAUUCCAGUCUAGAAUCACCUCACAACUGUUUUUCCUGAAGCAUGAAAUCCCUUGCACAGGACUCUCACAGAAGCUUGCUGCUUCCAAAGGACAGGACGCAUCAGACUGCUCACUUGGCUGAGGACUCACACUUCGUUUUAAUACACAGCACUCAGAUGGUUUUGUGAUAAAACAAGAGAAUACAGAAAAGUAGGACUGUGCUACAUUGUUCCAAAUGAAAGGGCUCACAGCAGAAAAAUAUCUUGCAAAUCCAGAGGCUUGGCUUUCAGAGAGCUAAGAAAAGGUAAGGAUGAGAAAAAGUUAUGUUGGGCAAAAGACUAAAUAUGGCUUCCCCUGCUUGGUCUGGUUUAAAGAACAAGGGCUAAAUAGGCAUCAUUAGGUGUCUCUUC
This is a non-coding RNA of Pelodiscus sinensis (Chinese soft-shelled turtle), 1579 nucleotides long. NCBI's taxonomy places the organism in Eukaryota, Metazoa, Chordata, Testudines, Trionychidae. The record is from RefSeq and is a predicted model, not a curated record.